This 184-nucleotide unclassified non-coding RNA is filed under the name uncultured Cladophialophora. RNAcentral's name for it is "sequence contains ITS2". Lineage: Eukaryota; Fungi; Ascomycota; Eurotiomycetes; Chaetothyriales; Herpotrichiellaceae. The record is from RNAcentral.
UCACCCCUCAAGCCCCGUGCUUGGUGUUGGACGGUCGGUCGAAGGGUUUUGCCCCGCGACCCCUCCUAAAGACAACGACGGCGGCCUGUGGUUCCCCCGGUACACUGAGCUUUUCACCGAGCACGUACCGGACGAGGGCGCCCAGGACCCGGUCUUCUCCUCUCGCGAGGAACUAUUUUAUCAA